AUUGAACGCUGGCGGCAGGCCUAACACAUGCAAGUCGAACGGUAGCACAGAGGAGCUUGCUCCUUGGGUGACGAGUGGCGGACGGGUGAGUAAUGUCUGGGAAACUGCCCGAUGGAGGGGGAUAACUACUGGAAACGGUAGCUAAUACCGCAUAACGUCGCAAGACCAAAGAGGGGGACCUUCGGGCCUCUUGCCAUCGGAUGUGCCCAGAUGGGAUUAGCUAGUAGGUGGGGUAACGGCUCACCUAGGCGACGAUCCCUAGCUGGUCUGAGAGGAUGACCAGCCACACUGGAACUGAGACACGGUCCAGACUCCUACGGGAGGCAGCAGUGGGGAAUAUUGCACAAUGGGCGCAAGCCUGAUGCAGCCAUGCCGCGUGUAUGAAGAAGGCCUUCGGGUUGUAAAGUACUUUCAGCGAGGAGGAAGGCGUUGUGGUUAAUAACCGCAGCGAUUGACGUUACUCGCAGAAGAAGCACCGGCUAACUCCGUGCCAGCCGCCGCGGUAA
This 506-nucleotide ribosomal RNA is filed under the name uncultured Enterobacterales bacterium. RNAcentral's name for it is "bacterial SSU rRNA". It matches the Rfam family "Bacterial small subunit ribosomal RNA", at positions 30 to 523 of the family's 1533-position model. The record is from RNAcentral. Lineage: Bacteria; Pseudomonadati; Pseudomonadota; Gammaproteobacteria; Enterobacterales.